This 468-nucleotide ribosomal RNA is filed under the name uncultured bacterium. Its description in RNAcentral is "partial 16S ribosomal RNA". It matches the Rfam family "Bacterial small subunit ribosomal RNA", at positions 28 to 507 of the family's 1533-position model. The record is from RNAcentral.
GACGAACGCUGGCGGCGUGCUUAACACAUGCAAGUCGAACGGAAAGGCCCUGCUUUUGUGGGGUGCUCGAGUGGCGAACGGGUGAGUAACACGUGAGUAACCUGCCCUUGACUUUGGGAUAACUUCAGGAAACUGGGGCUAAUACCGGAUAGGAGCUCCUGCUGCAUGGUGGGGGUUGGAAAGUUUCGGCGGUUGGGGAUGGACUCGCGGCUUAUCAGCUUGUUGGUGGGGUAGUGGCUUACCAAGGCUUUGACGGGUAGCCGGCCUGAGAGGUUGACCGGCCACAUUGCGACUGAGAUACGGACCAGACUCCUACGGGAGGCAGCAGUGGGGAAUAUUGCACAAUGGGCGGAAGCCUGAUGCAGCAACGCCGCGUGCGGGAUGACGGCUUUCGGGUUGUAAACCGCUUUCGCCUGUGACGAAGCGUGAGUGACGGUAAUGGGUAAAGAAGCACCGGCUAACUACGUG